UGUACCAUGAUUCCAUGAAUCAUACAUGGUUUUCCUUAAAAUUGUUUUCCUUGAAAUGUCUGUCCAAGUUGCCAGUUUGAUGGUGCUACAUUGUAAGAUGCGAGUGUUUUUCCAGUGCUGCUGGUUACCUCAAAGGACAAAGGCUGAUGUUGAAGGUUGACAUUGCAGUGCCAAUUCAUUCCCCAAUUCCCUGCCAUUGGUAUCCAUCCUGUUCUAGAUCCCUUCAGUUUCACAGCAAACACUUCACCUUCUUGCCCCACAUUAGUAAUUAGAACUUGAUAGAAAUGAGAACUUCCACUCAUUGUAAACUUCAUCCCAACACUUCUUUCACACUUCACUCUUUUAUACUGAACCGGAAUAAUAUCGGCUUUUGUUUUGGCAAUUUCAGAAAAUGCAGGUUGUGACAACUCAAAAUGUUGUCUUGGAAAGUUACACCAGCCACCAUAAUCAACUGAGAGACCGUAAUUAGGUAGUGAGGGACAGAAAUCAGGGGGUAACAAUUACAGAAGGGCUUCAAGCACACCCACAAGAUAUGGUCAACACAUCUGAUCUCGUAGCAAGCCCCACACGUAGUCCCUCUGUUGAACAAUGUGCUUAAUCCAACAUGUGCUUUCCGUAGCUAGCUUUGUGAAGAUCUCCGUAACCACAAGCUCCUUCUUAAUGAGGAUCCCUCUGUGUCUCAUACAUUCUUUGCUCUUAUUGUGCUGGGAAUGGAGGGAUCUCUAUUGAUGUCCCUUAACUUGUUGAUUGGCCUACUAUUAUUGCUGAUUGUCGUUUGGCUUGGUGCAACAUUGUGAAUGCAGUACCUGUUUUAUGCGAUGCAAUUUUUGCACCAGCUGGAUGGAUCAAAAUUCAGGGCCAUCAGUCAUGCUUUUGGGUGAUGAGGUAAGUAAAUGCAUCCUUGACCAUGCGUCUGUUUUGAAUUCAUUGCAAUGUGUAACUGAUUUUUCAUGUUGUUGUUGCUGCUGAUUGCAGAUUGAGCCUACAAUGGUUUUGCUAGCAGGAUAGUGCAUAAAUCUUGACUGAAGUAUGUCAUGUCACACAAUUUGAAUCUCAUCAGUUCCUUUUUGGCAUGAUGUCGUUGGCUCCAUGUUUAGCACCUUUGGUUCUGGUUUGGGGAUGUUUAUGUAGGUUCAAUGACUGGACUGGUUCAACAUAUGCUGCUUAGCACUCGUCAUGAUGGGACUGUGAGUGCGGAGUUGGGUAGGGAUGUAGGGGUCGGUCUAGUUGGUAGGCGGCGUGCGUGCAGGAGGUGACUGAUUCCAUGGUCCGUAGCUAGGGGCAAGUCGUGGGCGUCGUGUAAGCACAGUGGAGGAUGCAAGGUGCAAUGGAGUGGUAUGGCAGCUGGGCGGGUAUGGGCAGCAAGAAGCAAGCAGGGGCUGGUUGUCGGACGGGUGGCCGUAAGAGUGGGCCACACGUAGAGGUGAGCAGGUAUUGGAGAGGCGGUGAGUCGGUGCGUGUGAAUAUGCCAUGCGGAGUGGAAGGGAGACGCUAGUCGUGCAGUCGGCAGCUUCGCAGGAGAAUGUGUAGGGAAAAGAGGCUGAACCCCCAGGGGCCAAGGUGUCAAACAAUAGCGACAGCAAUCGGUCUCAGUAGGGGCGUGCAGAGCGGGCCGGUGGUAGUGAUCAACAGAGUGCGAGAGCUGACGCAACUGGGUCGAGGUGUGGCGGCAGCUGCAUGGCGACGGCGGGGCCAAUUGGACCAGCAAUUGCGUGUGAAUGUGUGCUGGAGGGUAGAAGGAGAGACACGGGGGUGUGUGAACGUCAUAAGAAGAGGGGCAAAGGGCAGCAGGUGGGGGGAGGGGAGCGAUCACCAGAGCCAAGCUCAGUCUUUAACCAGCUCCAGAAGGGCGUGGUUGAAAAGAAGUUGCCAACUGAGUGCAAAACGUUGGUGGCUGCCUCGGGUAAGUGUGCGUCGUAAGCUGCCACCAGGACACGGCGGUGCGCCAUAGAUGUGCCGUUGAGCCCUAAGCCACGAUGCUGUCAAUAAACAUACAGAGGAACUUGGGACUGCGUGGUGGGGGAAGGUCACUGGUAAGCCGUGAUUGCGGUUUCGCAGUCAAACAGUGUGCGAGGGACCGUGCCAGACGAGUGCCCUUGUGGGCGGGAAACGGCGUGUGCGGUCCCGGAGUGAGGCCGGCGUCAAGAAGGCUCGUCGAUAGGCCAAGACCUGGAAGUGGAGUUGCAGUGUCUGGGGGGACCGUGGUCAAGAAGAGUCGUGAGAGUACUAGAAAGCGAACACGGGAACAAGCAGGGGGUUCCAGGACUCUGUCGGGGGCCAGGGCCUAAGAAAGAGAUAACAGAAGCCGAAGUGCUAGCUCAGGAGUGCAGGCGAGCGUAGAUGGCCUCACCACGGGAGGAGAGUCAGCCAAAAACUCAGCAGUACAAAAGCGUGUGGGGACACGGUCGGAAAGAUGGCGCAGGACCGUGCAGAUGGAGGUCGGGAGCAAUAGGAGGCAGAGCAGCAGUGUAAGAGAGGCACUCGCAGGGGGAGGUGGGUCAAGGUGCGGAGCCAGAUGGUGAACCAAGCAACUGGGUCCAUGUCAUGGCGGAGCAGCACGAAGUGCAAGGGGGAAGAAAGAUGCAACGUCAUAGUCGAAGGGGCGACUGGUGGGCGUAGUGGUCCAUUGUCUCGGAGCUGGUAUGGUGGUGAGGGGAAGAGGAACGAUUCACGAUGAGAUAUGGGACGGACUGGCAACGGGUGUGAAGGGUGGGGGUGGUGGGAGGGUGGGGGUGACGGGGGGCAAGGGUGAUCAAAGGCUAACAGGUUGGACCAAAUGGGUAACAAAUGUGGCAAAAAGGGUCAAAGUUGGGUAUGGCGGUGGGAUGCCAGGCGUAUAGUGUGGUGAUAAGUAGACAUGGAAUAGAGAGGGAAAUGGUGUGAGAAAAGGGGUGGGAUAGGGGGCCAGGGGGGGUCUGGUAUGAACGGUUGAGGUUGGACGGUGGGGAAAAAGAAAGGAAGGAUAUAGGACUUAUGGAAUCAGGCCAGGAAAGUGAGACCAGUAAGUGAGUAUGGGGAAAGGUGAGGCAGAAGUCAAGGGCAUGUGAGUGUUGCAAGUGGGCGGGGUGACACAAGAAGGGGUGGGUAGUGUACCAGUACCAGUAUGUUGUGCCACAUGUAACAAGUCACAAGGAAACACACAGUGACGGGAGAUCCUAUAGGACCUAAUGCCGUCAGAGAGAACAGUUAAUAAAGUGUUAGAGGGACCAUAAAGCGGGGGGACAGUGGCCCCGAGGUUGUAAGGAGCUGUUGUCGACGUAGAGAAUAGAAGCAGGCACGUUCGCAUAGGAGCAGAGGGGGGAGAUGGGGUGAAAUAUGGUAAGAUGACCCUAGAGUGGAGUCCUGGAAUGCCUGAGGAAAUAAGAGAACACUGCCGUGGUCAGAAUCGGCAAGAUAAGCAAGCGCAUAAGAAGAAGUCCGGCGGGGACGGUGGAAAAGCGGCCGUGAGCAGCGAAACAGAAUGUGGACCGGGAGUACCAAAAGAAAGGGGAUACACAGGUAAGACCAGGCCGUGACGCCGCACAGGAGUCGUGAACACGAAGCAGCUAGAAGUAGGAGAGUGAUCAAGGGGGGUCGGGAGUCACCGGAAAGCUGUUGGUCGUGGAACAUUCCACGUGCGAUGUCGUGGAAAGCGGAAAACGUGGUUGGGAGGCCACAAGGACGGUCGAACGUGAGCGGCGGGUAAACGGCGGUCGAUGCGUGAUAUAAGCAGAAAAAAACGGGGCCGUGGAAGUUUGCCACCAAGUGGCAUCGACCGGAAUGUGGCAGGAAAACGUGCGUUUGUUCGAUGCGGGAAAAGCGGGAAAUCGUGGCCUGAAUGCCCACGGCGUGAGGUAUAGAGUACCGGAAAUCGUGGCCGGAAGGCUCACAAGGUGGCAUGUCUGACCGGAGCUGUGCGGAAUGGCGUCGAGCGUGAAAAGCGGAUAACGUGGCCGGAAUUGCCAUCGUUUGCGGGUCUGUGGAGACUCGGAACGUGGCCUGAAUGCCACAGGGGCGUCGACUCGGAACGUGGAAACGGUCGUCGAGUGUUCGGAAAAGCGGGAUAACGUGGCCGGGAAGUUUAUCUGCCCGGCGGCCGGUGAGCGGAAACGGCGUGAAGUCUUGGCCACAAGGUGGGCAGUCGACCGGAGUCGUCUCGGAAACGGUCGUCGGAUGCUGGGAAUAGUCAGGAAAAAAAUAUCNNNNNNNNNNNNNNNNNNNNNNNNNCUCGCUUACAUUGUAAGAUGCGAGUGUUUUUCCAGUGCUGCUGGUUACCUCAAAGGACAAAGGCUGAUGUUGAAGUUGACAUUGCAGUGCCAAUUCAUUCCCCAAUUCCUUGCCAUUGGUAUCCAUCCUGUUCUAGAUCCCUUCACUUUCACAGCAAACACUUCACCUUCUUCGCCACAUUAGUAAUUAGAACUUAUAGAAUGAGAACUUCCACUCAUUGUAAACUUCAUCCCACCACUUGUUUCACACUUCACUCUACAUCACAUUUACACAAAACAAACAUCUUCAACUUUAGAUUUACACACAUAUAUAUGAUAAUAAUCUAUAUAACACUGUGGUCUGAUAUAUUUAUCUCUACCUUCUAUACUGAACCGGAAUAAUAUCGGCUUUUGUUUUGGCAAUUUCAG
This 4613-nucleotide long non-coding RNA is filed under the name Lathyrus oleraceus (garden pea). Its description in RNAcentral is "Pisum sativum (pea) long non-coding RNA (PSAT_LNC022247)". The record is from RNAcentral. Lineage: Eukaryota; Viridiplantae; Streptophyta; Magnoliopsida; Fabales; Fabaceae.